AGCGGUUAAACAAAAAAGAUUUUUUUUUGUUCUAUUUAUCUAAAUAAAUAAAUAAAUUAUAAGAUUUCAAGAAGGUGAAAUUUUUGAAAAUUAAAGCCAAAAGUUUAAAUAAAAACUCCGUUAUAAAACUAGGAUUAGAUACCCUACUAUUAGGAAAUUUUUAUUGUUAGUAAAUAAAUAAUACGAAAACAAAAAAUUAUGGCGGUAUCUUAAGCUUUUCAGAGGAAUUUGCUCUUUAAUGGAUAAAACGCCUUUAAUCUUACUAAAAUUGGCAAUUUCAGUUUGUAUACCACUAUAAAAGUAAUAAUUUAUUAUUAUUGCUUUAAUUUUAUAAAUAAAAAGAAAAUUAAGUCAAGGUGCAGCAAAAAUUUUAGAAUGAAGUGAAUUACAGUGCUUUUUAGAAAAAGAAAAUGAAACUUAAUUUAGGAUUUGAAAGUAAGAAUUUAAUAAAAUGAUUUUUUGAAUGAAGUUCUGAGAUAUGUAC
RNAcentral lists this ribosomal RNA (484 nucleotides) under Amblyomma tenellum. RNAcentral's name for it is "partial small subunit ribosomal RNA". Lineage: Eukaryota; Metazoa; Arthropoda; Arachnida; Ixodida; Ixodidae. The record is from RNAcentral.